Lepus europaeus (European hare) is the source of this 438-nucleotide long non-coding RNA. RefSeq lists it as uncharacterized. Lineage: Eukaryota; Metazoa; Chordata; Mammalia; Lagomorpha; Leporidae. The transcript has 3 exons. The record is from RefSeq and is a predicted model, not a curated record.
UGUUACAUGUUUCCUGUCAAGUUACAUGUGAGAGAACACUGCCAGAUGUGAAGGAAGAGAGAGAGUGUCCUGUGUGUGCUGCAGUGGAUGUUUAACUUAGGGAAUGGAGCACACAUGGCCACAUGGUGGAAGGACUAUGGUUUCUCCAUCCUCACCUCCUCUUCCCAAGGGCAACUGACCUUCUCCUCUCCAAAACAGAUAUCUUUCAUGCCCUUGGUUAAAUUUAUUCUGGGUGAUGGGAGAGCAGAUCUUGGCCUCACUGUUAAAUUGUUAAGACUCUUCGUGUCCCAUUUGGAGUGCCUGGGUUCAAUACCCGAUUUCACUACUUACUCCAGCUUCCUGCUAAUCCAGACCCUCAGAGGCAAUGAGAUUGAACCCAGGAGUGCAGUGGAGGUUAGCCCAAGUGCUUGGGCCCUGCACCCCAUGGGAGACCAUGAG